UACGUAGGUGGCAAGCGUUGUCCGGAUUUACUGGGCGUAAAGAGCGCGCAGGCGGUUAUUCAAGUCGAAUGUGAAAGCCCCCGGCUUAACUGGGGAGGGUCAUUCGAUACUGCUUAACUUGAAGGCAGGAGAGGGUAGUGGAAUUCCCGGUGUAGUGGUGAAAUGCGUAGAUAUCGGGAGGAACACCAGUGGCGAAGGCGACUACCUGGCCUGUUCUUGACGCUGAGGCGCGAAAGCUGGGGGAGCAAACGGG
Molecule: ribosomal RNA, 253 nt
Filed under: uncultured bacterium
Lineage: Bacteria
Also listed under: 1 other name
Description: partial 16S ribosomal RNA
Rfam family: Bacterial small subunit ribosomal RNA
Source: RNAcentral